Mycena epipterygia is the source of this 94-nucleotide non-coding RNA. NCBI's taxonomy places the organism in Eukaryota, Fungi, Basidiomycota, Agaricomycetes, Agaricales, Mycenaceae. The record is from the annotation of a GenBank genome assembly.
GGCUCGGUAGCGCGCGGUGCGCAUCUGCGUGCGUUUUCGGGCUUGAGGACCCAAUUUGAAGCAGAAAACGCCUGUUCGACUCAGGCUCGAGCCA